AAAAGGAGGAGAAAGAGGAGAAGCUGGAAGGCGAUGCAGCUCUGAACAAACUUUUCCGGGAUAUAUAUAAGGAUGCAGACCCAGAUACACGACGGGCAAUGAGCAAAUCUUUUGUGGAGUCAAACGGAACUGUGCUGUCUACUAACUGGAAGGAAGUGGGCUCGAAGAAGGUGGUGGGGAGCACUCCUCAAGGGAUGGAGAUGAAGAAAUGGGA
RNAcentral lists this unclassified non-coding RNA (214 nucleotides) under Hevea brasiliensis (rubber tree). The record is from RNAcentral. Lineage: Eukaryota; Viridiplantae; Streptophyta; Magnoliopsida; Malpighiales; Euphorbiaceae.